UGCAGGAUAACGUAGCCAAGAAGGGCAACCAGACAUACAACAGGAGGCUGCUGGCUGGUACUAACACUGAAAAGCCAGCUAGGUGCCGGCCAAGGCUGGGGAGGGGCUCCGGUGCCGCAGACCCCGCGCGGGGGCGGCGCGGGCGUGAAGGGGCCGGCGGCCGGCGGGCAGUGCGCACGCGCGGCCCCGGCCUUUGUACCUGCGGCGGCGGCGGCGGCGGCAGCGGCACCUGAAGCCCCCCAGCGAGCAUGCGCGGCCGCGGCCGCCCCGCCGCGAGGGGCGCGGGGGGAGGGGCGGCGCUCCGCCCCGGCCUUACCUGCCCGCGUUCUCCGCGUCCAUUCCCGGCGGCCGCUCCUGCGGACGGCUGCUCCGGUCACGUCCUGGUCGCUACGGUAUGGCGGCGUAGGGGCAGCGGUACAGGGACCGGAGGCUUGGACCCGAUGGCCGGCAGACCGGAGACCGCGGCGAACGCUCAAGCCCCGCCCCCUCCCUCAGGGCUCCCCCUCCCCCCGCGCAAACCCCUCUUUGGCGGGGCGCUUCCGCCUGCGCCUCGCCAAAUCCCAGGACGUGUGAGGGUCACGUGUCGCGGGACAGUCCAAUCGGCGGGAUGUGGGAGAAAGAAGAGUCUAUGGAAUCAGAGAACCUGAGAGUCCAGGCCACUGUACUAUCUUGGGCCCCAGGUUCCUAAUCUGUACAUUGAGGUGAUUGUAAAACUGCUUUGUAAAAUGUAGAACUUGACAUAAAUUGUUGUCUGGCUUA
Pipistrellus kuhlii (Kuhl's pipistrelle) is the source of this 759-nucleotide long non-coding RNA. RefSeq lists it as uncharacterized. The transcript has 2 exons. NCBI's taxonomy places the organism in Eukaryota, Metazoa, Chordata, Mammalia, Chiroptera, Vespertilionidae. The record is from RefSeq and is a predicted model, not a curated record.